GUGUAUAUUUUGAAUGGUGGGGCAGUAAGCUGGUGCAGUUGCAAGCAAAGCCUGGUGGUGGGAUCUACAUGUGAAGCGGAGUACAUGGCAGCCUCGGAGGCAGCACAAGAAGCAAUCUGGGUGAAGGAGUUCAUCACCGACCUAGGAGUCAUACCCAAUGCGUCGGGGCCGAUGACUCUCUUCUGUGACAACACUAGAGCUAUUGCCCUUGCCAAGGAGCCCAGGUUUCACAGGAAGACCAGGCAUAUCAAGUGUCGCUUCAACUCCAUUCAUGAAAGUGUUCAAAAUGGAGACAUAGAAUUUUGUAAAGUACAUACGGACCUGAAUGUAGCAGAUCCGUUGACUAAACCUCUCCCUAGAGCAAAA
RNAcentral lists this ribosomal RNA (366 nucleotides) under Triticum aestivum (bread wheat). Its description in RNAcentral is "partial small subunit ribosomal RNA". Lineage: Eukaryota; Viridiplantae; Streptophyta; Magnoliopsida; Poales; Poaceae. The record is from RNAcentral.